Molecule: ribosomal RNA, 253 nt
Filed under: uncultured bacterium
Lineage: Bacteria
Description: partial 16S ribosomal RNA
Rfam family: Bacterial small subunit ribosomal RNA
Source: RNAcentral
UACGAAGGGGGCUAGCGUUGCUCGGAAUGACUGGGCGUAAAGGGCGCGUAGGCGGAUGGCACAGUCAGAUGUGAAAUUCCCGGGCUUAACCUGGGGGCUGCAUUUGAUACGUGUUGUCUUGAGUUCGGAAGAGGGUCGUGGAAUUCCCAGUGUAGAGGUGAAAUGCGUAGAGAUCGGAAAGAACACCAACGGCGAAAGCACUCUGCUGGGCCGACACUGACACUGAGAGACGAAAGCUAGGGGAGCGAAUGGG